This 253-nucleotide ribosomal RNA is filed under the name uncultured bacterium. RNAcentral describes it as "partial 16S ribosomal RNA". It matches the Rfam family "Bacterial small subunit ribosomal RNA", at positions 524 to 776 of the family's 1533-position model. The record is from RNAcentral.
GACGUAGGGCGCGAGCGUUGUCCGGAUUUAUUGGGCGUAAAGAGCUCGUAGGCGGUCUGUCGCGUCGGCUGUGAAAUCCCGAGGCUCAACCUCGGGUCUGCAGUCGAUACGGGCAAACUAGAGUAUUGCAGGGGAGACUGGAAUUCCUGGUGUAGCGGUGAAAUGCGCAGAUAUCAGGAGGAACACCGGUGGCGAAGGCGGGUCUCUGGGCAGUUCCUGACACUGAGACACGAAGGCCAGGGGAGCAAACGGG